RNAcentral lists this ribosomal RNA (491 nucleotides) under uncultured bacterium. RNAcentral's name for it is "partial 16S ribosomal RNA". It matches the Rfam family "Bacterial small subunit ribosomal RNA", at positions 28 to 507 of the family's 1533-position model. The record is from RNAcentral.
GAUGAACGCUAGCUACAGGCUUAACACAUGCAAGUCGAGGGGAAACGACAUUGAAGCUUGCUUCGAUGGUCGUCGACCGGCGCACGGGUGAGUAACGCGUAUCCAACCUGCCUCUGACCAAGGGAUAACCCGUCGAAAGUCGGCCUAAUACCUUAUGCAGUCGUCGGAAGUCAUCUGAUGACGACGAAAGAUUUCAUCGGUGAGAGAUGGGGAUGCGUCUGAUUAGCUUGUUGGCGGGGUAACGGCCCACCAAGGCAACGAUCAGUAGGGGUUCUGAGAGGAAGGGCCCCCACAUUUGAACUGAGACCCGGUCCAAAAUGCAAAGGGAGGCAGGAGUGAGGAAUAUUGGUCAAUGGGCGAGAGCCUGAAACAGCCAAGUAGCGUGCAGGAUGACGGCCCUAUGGGUUGUAAACUGCUUUUAUGCGGGGAUAAAGUGAGGGACGUGUCCUUCAUUGCAGGUACCGCAUGAAUAAGGACCGGCUAAUUCCGUG